This 495-nucleotide ribosomal RNA is filed under the name uncultured bacterium. RNAcentral describes it as "partial 16S ribosomal RNA". It matches the Rfam family "Bacterial small subunit ribosomal RNA", at positions 28 to 507 of the family's 1533-position model. The record is from RNAcentral.
GACGAACGCCGGCGGCGUGCCUAAUACAUGCAAGUAGAACGCUGAAGGAGGAGCUUGCUUCUCUGGAUGAGUUGCGAACGGGUGAGUAACGCGUAGGUAACCUGCCUGGUAGCGGGGGAUAACUAUUGGAAACGAUAGCUAAUACCGCAUAAUAGCAGUUAUUGCAUGAUAACUGUUUGAAAGGUGCAAUUGCACCACUACCAGAUGGACCUGCGUUGUAUUAGCUAGUUGGUGGGGUAACGGCUCACCAAGGCGACGAUACAUAGCCGACCUGAGAGGGUGAUCGGCCACACUGGGACUGAGACACGGCCCAGACUCCUACGGGAGGCAGCAGUAGGGAAUCUUCGGCAAUGGACGGAAGUCUGACCGAGCAACGCCGCGUGAGUGAAGAAGGUUUUCGGAUCGUAAAGCUCUGUUGUAAGAGAAGAACGAGUGUGAGAGUGGAAAGUUCACACUGUGACGGUAUCUUACCAGAAAGGGACGGCUAACUACGUG